This 355-nucleotide long non-coding RNA is filed under the name Coturnix japonica (Japanese quail). RNAcentral describes it as "lncRNA (ENSCJPG00005010803.1)". Lineage: Eukaryota; Metazoa; Chordata; Aves; Galliformes; Phasianidae. The record is from RNAcentral.
UGGGUUCUGAUGGGCUGAAAAUGCAGCAUAUAAGGCAUGCAAACAAAUGCAGUGCUUAGAAUUGGAGAGGACAGAAGCCUGGUGGUGCUGACCAUAUAAAUGUUUUAUUUUUGGAAGCAGAGCUGCAGUCCUGUGGAGCCAUCACUCCUGUGCUGUUGAGUGACCUCUUGGAUUUUCUUCGCCAUAACAAAAAUCAUAACUAGUAAAUGUGUCAUAUUAUUUGCUACUGACUGAUAUGUAGCUGUUAUGCAUGUUUUUAUACAGAUGAAAGUCUUGAUAUUGUAUCACAUAGUAAGCUGAUAGAGAAAUAACUCCCCUUGCCUGAAUAACAUGUGUUGUUUGCUGGAGAUCAGAG